Molecule: long non-coding RNA, 1508 nt
Filed under: Cricetulus griseus (Chinese hamster)
Lineage: Eukaryota; Metazoa; Chordata; Mammalia; Rodentia; Cricetidae
Description: lncRNA (ENSCGRG00000025932.1)
Source: RNAcentral
GAACAACUCGGGCUGCCCAACUCGAGGUCCUGUGCCCCUGGUCUAACAGCACAGCCACUCAUUUGAGUUUCGGAUCCCAGUUCCUACCCACUCGCCCACCGCUGCGGCCCCCAGGUCCCCGGUGGACACCCAAAAGUCGGGCGGGGACCGCCCUAAGUGCCCUAUGCCACAGAGUAUAGCGUCUGAGCUCUGGCGUGGCCGGCCGCUUUCCACCUGGCCUGCGCUUCAGCCUGUCUGCCUUCUCUUGCAGGACAGAUCCGGAGAGGGUGGAAGGUCCAGGUUUUUGCGGCAAUUAAUGAUACUAGGACCUGUGCGCAGGCUCUGUUUGCUUCCGGAAGGAGUGAGAAGACAGAAUGCAUCCCGAAGCCCUAGGCGCUCAUGGGAAUCUCUGCUGCCGCGGGGUCUGACGAAGGCUGGACCGAGGAUGCCGCAUCUCCGGCCCUGCUGGGUGUCAAGUCCCUCCGGGCCAUCCCUCUCUUGGGGGCUGCCUUUUACACUCCACUAGGUGGAUAUGGAACCGAGGCUCUAGUCAACCUGUCUUGGCUAUCAUCUAAAGUGCUGAAGCUCCAGUUUUUAUAAAGAAACCCCCAACCCUUCUGUUUUUAACUAAGCGUCUUCCAGUAUUCUGUUCCUAGUGCUCAGGAAGUAUUCUUGCACCCAACAAAUAUUAAUGACCACUUGCUGAGUGUGGGCCCUGUAGCAGGACCAUGGGGCCCAUGUCCUCCUUAUGUGUGAUACUUCUGGGGGAGACCAGGGCACCAAGAGCAGGCAUAGGCAGCAGGCCCCUUUGCUUGGCAGGGCUGUUUGUCUCUUUCCCUUCCCUCCUCACCUUCCUUCUGCAGAGCCCUCCCCAGGGGAUUGUGGGCUGCUGAGCCUCUGCCACCUGCUUUUCUGAGAGUCACACUUCCCUUUUUGAUCACGCAUGUGGAAAUAAAGAUUUUGCACCUGAUCUUCCUCACAGUCUAAGGAAUGAUGCCAGCGGGCUUCUACAUCAGGCUGACCUUCUCAGCUGAACUUCUUAUGGUCUGUCCUUUAAUCCAGUCAGUCCACUGGGGACAGACACCAUGGAAACUGGCCAGGUGCUGUCUGUCCUUUCACAAAUCUGUGAUCCCAUUCCUCCUCUGGUGGCUCAGCUCUUCCUGUCCACUCAUUCACCCCAAGGCAGCCUAGAGUCACAUGAGAGAGUCUUUCCACUGUCACUGUGUGGCUUCCGUAACACCUAGGUCAUGCAUCUUACUUGCCUAGACAGUGUCUUCUGUUUGACUUUAUCUCACGUGUCCUCAGUCCAGACCUCACAGACCUCGUGACUAGGACAUUCCGAUUUCUAGUACAGCUGGAACAGCUGUCUCUUUCGGAGAUCCCAUUCCCUACUGUUUCCUCUUCCUGAAUAGAAUGCUCCCAUAACCCACCCUUCAGAUGCUGUUGGGAAACAGUCCUGAAUCCACCAUGAUGGUGUCUGUUUCCUUAACCUGAAACAUCUACACUUUUAGAGCAAUGGUAACAAGAAG